This 1151-nucleotide long non-coding RNA is filed under the name Homo sapiens (human). RNAcentral's name for it is "HSALNT0325977". Lineage: Eukaryota; Metazoa; Chordata; Mammalia; Primates; Hominidae. The record is from RNAcentral.
CAAAAGACAGAGGAAGGAAAACUUUGCACUUUUCUCCUGCGUAAUUGCUUGAACUGAGUUAUCUCAUCUAAGAUUUACAUCAUUUGUUCCUUUGUUUCUCAGGCCUUUGAGCUUAUACUGAAUUAUACCACCAGCUUUCCUAGGUCUUGAAGCUUACAGACAGCAGAUCUUGGGACUUCUCAGGCACCAUAAUCAAUCAUAGAUAAAUGAUCCAAUGAUUCGGAACUUGAAAAGUGGUAGCUUUAUGAAUUCUCCUUAAGAAGAAACCUGUGCCCCGAUCUUGCCUACUCACCCAAAGGCACUGUGAGAUAGCAUCAAAGGAACAGCUAGUAAGAGACACAGAGCCAGAAAUCAGGGAAGUAAAAUACACUUGACAUCUACAUUCGGAAAGAAAUUUUAGGAGGCAGAAGCAAAUGGAUCAGAAGCUGCUUAUAUUUUUGCAAGAUUACCAAAGAAACCAUUGGUGGAGAAAGUUCUGUGACCAACUUGUCUGAGUCUAGUAAGACUGAACGCUCACACACAAGUUUCAUGAAGUGGGUUUGAUACUUACAGAUAAGCAGCAAGGACCAACAGAAGCUGAUGAUCUAUGGUGAACUUUUUCCCAAGGCUCCGGAAAGCUGCCUAAAGUAGAUGGAGUCUUCUCUGUGUGUGCCCCACUGGUCCUGCAGUUGAAGGAUCCGGUAAAGCAGCCUGCCCUGGGUUUUACACUCCAGAGGAACGUGAUUCGCUGGACUAAAGCAUUGAAGUGCAUCCUGUUUCCGGGGGGCACUGGAACAGAGCCUGGUCUGUUCUAGCCAGUCCCUUUCUAUCUCAGGAUGUUGCAUUCCCAGUACAUUCUACAGUUAUUCUUGAGAACUAUAAUCAAAUAAGCAGGGAGAACUGGGAAAGCAGAGGCUCAUCGUGGAACCCUCAAGGAGCAUGUGGUCGUCUUCAUCCCUCAGUUUAUAAAUGGCCAAGGAGAGUAAUGCAACAAAAACUUCUCAGACUUAAGAGCCAGAGUUCCUAAAGAACCGUGGACAAAGGGUUCUGUCUAGUGGGCAGAAUUCAUCCAGCGAAGGUCUCCUAACUACAGAGGGUCACAUCUGGAUCUGAUGGUACCUACAGAACUUGGACUCUGAGCGACAAUCAGUGACCAGGUGUGACUUUAUAUU